This 305-nucleotide ribosomal RNA is filed under the name uncultured bacterium. RNAcentral's name for it is "bacterial SSU rRNA". It matches the Rfam family "Bacterial small subunit ribosomal RNA", at positions 334 to 630 of the family's 1533-position model. The record is from RNAcentral.
GACAUCCUACGGGGGGCAGCAGUAGGGAAUCUUCCACAAUGGGCGAAAGCCUGAUGGAGCAACGCCGCGUGGGUGAAGAAGGUCUUCGGAUCGUAAAACCCUGUUGUUAGAGAAGAAAGUGCGUGAGAGUAACUGUUCACAUUUCGACGGUAUCUAACCAGAAAGCCACGGCUAACUACGUGCCAGCAGCCGCGGUAAUACGUAGGUGGCAAGCGUUAUCUGGAUUUAUUGGGCGUAAAGGGAACGCAGGCGGUCUUUUAAGUCUGAUGUGAAAGCCUUCGACUUAACCGGAGUAGUGCAUUGGG